This 18-nucleotide small nuclear RNA is filed under the name Arabidopsis thaliana (thale cress). RNAcentral's name for it is "snRNA_11765". Lineage: Eukaryota; Viridiplantae; Streptophyta; Magnoliopsida; Brassicales; Brassicaceae. The record is from RNAcentral.
AAUGCCAAGUUUGGCCUC